RNAcentral lists this long non-coding RNA (2565 nucleotides) under Marmota monax (woodchuck). Lineage: Eukaryota; Metazoa; Chordata; Mammalia; Rodentia; Sciuridae. The record is from RNAcentral.
GGGUAGAGUGUCCAGCAGACUGGCCAGUACCAUAACCCUGGGAAGCACCCACCUGGCCAGGCCCACCCUUUUCCAGGUUCCUUCUUGUGCAUGGGUGGCCCCCAUUCCCAAACCCCACUCCAGGUAGCUGAUGCUAGGUGUGGGUGGUAUGUUUUCUGCAAGGGGUGGAUUAAACCACUGGCAGCAUCAGGGCGGUUUCAUUAAUGGCAUUACUUUCCAAUGAUACAGAAAUUCCAGAAAGAAAUGAAAUCACAUGACUUUCAACAGGGAAGAAGCCCCCAAGGAGGACCCUGAAAGCAAAGUUGGGAAGUGUCAAAGACAAGCUUCCUUUAUCCACUCAGGUGGUCACAGCACUGGGGCAAGGAGAGCUGGGGCCUCAGGCUCCAAUGAGUGACCACUACCUUUAUAACUGGGGUCUGGGGGUCAUAUUUCUUCAAGUUGCCUGCUCAGGGGAAGCAUCCUUCAGUCAGAUCUAGAUCAGCCUCAAUCGGUACUCUAGAUCAGUACUCUAGAUCAGUACCGUCCAGGUGUGACCUUGAAGGCACCUGCCCUGCAUCCACUUAUUUCUUCAUUUUUCAAGAGUCUCUUGCUAUCACAAUGCCUCCUCUUUUACAAGAAAUGUGCUAGUUUUCUUUUCAGUGGGUUGGGGGGAGGUACAAGGGUAUUGGGGAUUGAACUCAGGGGCACUCGGCCCCUGAGCCACAUCCCCAGCCCUAUUUUGUAUUUUAUUUAGAGACAGGGUCUCACUGAAUUGCUAAGCACCUUGCUUUUGCUGAUGCUGGCUUUGAACUCAUGAUCCUCCUGCCUCAGCCUCCUGAGCCACUGGGAUUACAGGUGUGUGGCACAGCACAUGGCUAAGGAAUGCACUAGUUUUAAAAUGUAAUUGCUUCAGUGUUUUACCUUCUCCUGAAUGAUUUGGAAGGGAGUAGAAUAAAAUGGGAGCCGGCAUUUAAAUCUAAACUAAGAGCAAAGCCAGGAAGUUGGUAGGUUUGAGAUGAAGGGAAGGCCCUGGACCAUAAGGUUCGGCUACAGCACAGGUAACAGUCAGGUAAAGGCAGCCUCUGCUGAAUUGUGUCUGGAAGCCUGGACACUGUCUUGGUGAGGUCCUGCUUGAGAAUGACUGUCAAGAAGCCAACCCCAGACUGGGCCCAGAGGGACAGCUGCAGCGCACAGACAAAACUAGAGGAAAAGUGAUCGAGCAAGCUCUGGAUUCCAUCAGGACCCGGCAAGUCAUUUGGUAAGGUUUUUAUUACUGUGUUUUCAUUGAAAAGUUACAGUUGGCUCUUCUUUUUCCUUCCCUGUCGGAACAGUUCUGUUGCAAAACCACUAGGUGGAGCUGAGCAAGAGGGGCCUGAGGCCGGGAGUCUCAGUGGUUCAGAGCAGGACUUCUGACACCUGUGGGUGAGGUUGGUGAUCUGGGGCUUGGGGAGCUGCUCAGUGGUGGGGGAGGAGUCAGGCCCCCGCAGGGUGAGGAGGGCAUCCACGCUGUCGGGUGGGACUGGGCUCGUCAAGAACAAUCUAAUAAGACACCUAUAAUAGUAUUUAACUCUGUUUCUUUAUAUGUGCUGUUGUUUUGCCUGUUUUACUCUUUCUCUGUGUUCUGGACCCAGCCAUACAUUGUUAGGGCUUUUGCUUUAAGUGAUCAAUAGUGUUUCAAAACCUUUUUGAUUUCGAAAUAGUUGCAGACUCUCAGGAAGAAAUGAGUACAGAGAGUCCUGUGCAUCCUUCCCACCCCAGCCCCACGAGUACCAUCCUACCUAACUAGAACCCCACAUCAAAAGCAGGAAAUGUAUAUUGGUAUAUUAUUCUUAACUGUCAUUUUCAGAUUGUACCAAUAUUCCCAGACGAGUGAGUAUACGUAUUUCAUACAACUUUGCCACAUGUGCCGAUUUAUGUGAUUACCAACAUAAGCAAGACUCAAAAGUGUCCCAUCACUUCGAAGGAACUUCCUUGAACUACCUAUUAGAGUCAUACCGCCCUCUGACCUCCUCCUAUCCUUCCGGGCAACCAUUAGUUUGUUGACCAUCUCUGUAUUUCUUUCAAUUUGAGAAUAUUACACAAAUGGAAUAAUAUAGUAUGUCUUCUUUUUAAGAUAGACUUUUUUCACUCAGAAUUAUGCCCCUGAGUUCCAUGCCAUAGGCAUCAUUUAUCAAUAGUUUGCUCCUUUUUAUUGCCCAAAUAGCAUUCCACUGUAGAGAUGUACCACAGUUGCUUAUCCAUUUGCUUUUUAGGACAUUUCUGUGUUUUGGUAAUUACAAAUAAAGCUGCUAUGAACAUUCAUGUAAAAGUUUUUGUGUGAACAUAAGUUUUCAUUUCUCUGGGAUAAAUACCCAGGAGUGCAGGUGCUAGGUCAUAUUCAUGUGUGUUAAUUUUAUAAAUAGUUGCCAAAUUAUUUUCCAGAGCGGUUGUUCCAUUUUACACUCCCACCAGCAAUGUAAGAAAUACUCAGUUUUCCCACAUUCUUACCAGCAUUUACAGUUAUUAUAUUUUGUUAGUUGUUCUAUGAACUUUAUAAUAAUAGCUCAUUGUUGUUAAUUUUCACUUAUCUAAUGACUAAGUUGCAUU